RNAcentral lists this ribosomal RNA (804 nucleotides) under Triticum aestivum (bread wheat). Its description in RNAcentral is "partial small subunit ribosomal RNA". The record is from RNAcentral. Lineage: Eukaryota; Viridiplantae; Streptophyta; Magnoliopsida; Poales; Poaceae.
AUGAGCUUAGCGCUUCUAGGGGGCUACUCCUCCGCCGAGGACGACGACCCCGCCGCCGGCGCCGGCGCCGAGCUGAGCGACUCCGGCGACUCAUCAGCCGAAGAGGCCGGAUCUGACGGAGACGAGAAGUCCGCUCCGUCGAAGCCGGCUGCGAAGCCCCGCCCCCGCGUAAACCCUAGCCCCGGAGAUGGGGACUCCUCGCUGCCCUCGGCGCUAGAUGUCUUCGCCGAGAUCUCCGGGCCCCCGGCUUUCCUCAACCGCAGAGUGGCCCAGCCCGAGGAGGUCGGGGAGGCGCUCGGCGUGCUCGAUCGCCGCUCCAACUCCAAGAGGAGAAAGCCGCCACCUCCCGGUGCGGUUGUGGCGGCGAAGCCACAGAUGGUUGCCAUCCGUGAACGAGUUAGCAGUGACGUGAAGAAUGGUGCCAAUCCUCCAGUUGCGGUUGUGUCGGCGAAACCACAGUUGGUUGCUGGUCACGAACGAGUUAGCAGUGACAUGAAGAAUGGUGCCAACCCUCCAGGUUCUGUUGAAGGAAAGAGGAAAAUAGGCGCUGCAAAUCCUGGUCCAGAAGAUGCUGCCGAGCUUCUAAGAAUGUGCCUCCAGUGUGGUAUACCAAAGACCUAUUCACAUGCGCAAGGAAUGGUAUGCCCUGUUUGCAACGACAGACCGGUGCAGGCUAAAGAGCCAGAGAAGAAGAAGGGUUCUGCUGUAAAAGACAAGGAGAAAGUGAAGAGGAUGAGAGGGCAAUCGUCACAUGCAUCGUGGAAGAGCGAAACUGAGAUGGCCCUGCGCCAACAAUUUGACUGA